CGGCGGACGGGUGAGUAACGCGUGGGUAACCUGCCUCAUACAGGGGGAUAACAGUCAGAAAUGACCGCUAAUACCGCAUAAGACCACGGUACCGCAUGGUACAGUGGUAAAAACUCCGGUGGUAUGAGAUGGACCCGCGUCUGAUUAGGUAGUUGGUGGGGUAACGGCCUACCAAGCCGACGAUCAGUAGCCGACCUGAGAGGGUGACCGGCCACAUUGGGACUGAGACACGGCCCAG
Molecule: ribosomal RNA, 238 nt
Filed under: uncultured bacterium
Lineage: Bacteria
Description: partial 16S ribosomal RNA
Rfam family: Bacterial small subunit ribosomal RNA
Source: RNAcentral